CUUCAAUGCAGUAGCCCAUGAGUUUAACAAGAUUUCGAUGUUGUAGUUUCGAUAAAAGGAUGAUCUCAUUCCUGAACUCUUCAACGCCUUGGGCUGAGGUACUGGAAAGUCUUUUCACAGCUACCUCUUUCCCAUCUUUCAGCUUCCCCUGUUUCGCAAUUCACAUAGCUUUCAGACCAUGGAUUACCUCUAUAUUUUCAUUUAACGAAUGUGCUGCAGAAUAAUUUCACCUUAUAAACAGAGCCAAACCCUCCUUGCCCUAGUUUACUCGUCAUGCAAAACUUGUCCGUGGCAAGUAGUAUGCUAUCAAAACUGAAAAGGGUCAAUUCCUGUGAACCAUCGUGCUUCAGCUGCUCUUUCCAUGCUUUUCCUUGCAUCAUUUUGGCCGAUUCUUCAGAUGUCUCUACCAAGCCAAGGAGUUCUGAAAAUUCCCUCAAGUUUCCUGUGUUCAUCAUUGGUAAAGAAUUAGCUCACUUUCUUCAUAGCGAUGGAAGAUUCAAACAAAAUAGAAGCACAAUCCUCUGAAAGCACUUGUGUGGCUCUUCAACAGUACCUGUUUUCUUAGCUCUCCAUCUGCAGAGAGCAAAAACAGAUACUGUAAAGAUCAUGAUGCCAGCAACGGUAAUCAGGCUGAUGAUAACUGAUUUUCGCAGCGAUGCUCCUGAGAUGGAAGAGAAAGUUAUGUAAAAGAUGAUCUGCGUUGACCCAAACUCAUCUCAAUGAAACAAUUCCUAAUAUGCUUUGACGUGGACAGCUCGAACAAGUAGAUCUUCCCCAGCUGUGGGUUCCUGAAGAUCGACCAGGUCUUUACUCCAAACCAUACACGCAACAGAGUUGACAUAAGAAUAAGCCAAGCAAGAACAAUUGCUCAGGCACCACCUUAAACAUCCUUCUUAAACUAUACACCGAAUGAUGCACGGAAUGCCAAUGCUAUCAUUUCGACUAAUUUUCGUUGGAAAAACAACAUUAAAAUUUUGCGUAAAGGUUUGAAACUAAACCCGUUUUUGGUCUUCCUAAUCUACUGUCCUUUCUCUCUCUCUCUCUCUCUGUUGAAAAUCUUUGUUCCCAUGCGGUGGUAAAUCCAUCCUUGCACACAACCCCAACCCCCAAACAAAAUGGCAAAAUUACAAAGUUUUGAAAUGAACUGACAUUUUUACAAUAGAUUUAGGAUUAAUCAAACAAUUUCGACGUUGCGUUGUACUUGUAUGUCGAUUAGGAUUUCGAUCUUAAAACAAUUGUCGGUCAUCGCUAAGCACUUAGUAAUUGAGACACGUCUAAUUAGAUGCUUUGAACGCCAGCUGCAGCACUAUUAGAAAUGGGCUGAGAAAAGUGAGCUGAGCUGUAGCUUCGUGGGCUUAAAAUAGGGUUUGGGGAAUUGAACUCAGAUUUAUUUUUAUUUUUCGGCCCACCUUUUACAUUUUCUCCCUCAUGAUGUUUCUCUGGCUCAACCAAAAUUUGUAUGACAAUUCAUAAACUUGGAGAUGAGAAUAAUCAAGUGGCUCCAUUCCAAAGCUGAACCCAUAACCAUAUUGGGGAAUCGGUUCCUGGAAAACCUGAAACCCGAACCCGAAUUGAUCUAUCCUAUCACUUGUCUGCAACCAAAUCGGCCCAUUCCGGGGUAAAAUGAGGAUCAUAUCCUCCAUUUUUAUUUUAUUUUUAGAUUUUAGCAUAUUAAAAAUGAAUAACUAUUUUUUUUUUUACUUGAGACUUCGUCUUUUUAACCCAUUCUCUUUUAUUUUGAGUUGUUAACUUGUCAAUGGCAAUUUUUAAUAAUAUAUGUCGAUAUUUAUAUAUACUUAUCAUAUCAAUGCCGAUUCAAAAUUUGUUUUACUAGGAAUUUACUUGGUAUGUUUGGUUCCUUAAUAAAAGAAAUGGGCUUAAGGCUCAACCCUGAGACUGAAGCGAAGGUUUCGGGUUGAACAUGAAAUGUUGCUCCCCCUUAGGUAAACUUAUAUACAUUUUAACAAAUUUUCAGUUGUUUCUUUUUUUCUCCCGAUUCAUCGCCUCUUCAUUCCAUCAUACAAAACAUGCAAUUGACCUUUAAAACCAAUCAUAGUAGGAUCAGGAUGGAACAAGGAGAAUUUUUCUUCUUGUAUUGAGAUAUCAAACUGUCAAACAUGGGAGCAGUCAAAGGUUACCAAAAAUAAACUAAUCAUAUCCUACCUACCUGAAAAUACCAUGACAGAAUCCACAAUUUAAACUGAAAGCCAGAAAGGUNNNNNNNNNNNNNNNNNNNNNNNNNNNNNNNNNNNNNNNNNNNNNNNNNNNNNNNNNNNNNNNNNNNNNNNNNNNNNNNNNNNNNNNNNNNNNNNNNNNNAAUCCCAUCUCAAAGGGAGGGAACUUAUGGCCCGAUACAUAGGUAGAGCUCGACUUAACUGUUCCAAUCGAGGGCUUUGCUCAUGUGGAUUGAGGGGGUCUUCAAGGAUAUUAGAGAACCACUCUAGUCGGAAGCCUGGUCGUCAGUCGGAAAAACUUUAGACGCGCUACAUGGUGUUGCGCAGAAGUCACCUCUCGUGUCUAUGGGAGCCAUCAUCUCUAGAAUCCUACAAAAGAAUAUGGUUUUUAGCUAUAUGGACCGACAUUUCCAUGCCACACCCCAUAUGUGGUUUAUAACAUAAUCAUCCAUGCCAGGUCAGCAUGUAUAACUUAAUUUGGUAUUGAUGUUGCGCACCUUGAAAUCUCUAUACAUGACUCUAAUGAAAGAGUCCCAAUUGAGAUUCAAAGCCCUAUAGUGAGUAAUAGGGGUGAUCAAUUUCCAAUUCUAGUUUGGUCUAAUGGAAUCGGUCGCUUUUUCUUUUUUUCUUUUUUCACUACUUGAUGCCUUCUAUUAUAAAGAAAUAAUUUUUUUUUAAAAAGCUAGUAGCUUUUUCUUUUUGAAGAAGUUAAAAAAAAAAAAGAGUAUUUGAAGUUGGUCCGAUCCGGUUCUCCCUUCUAACUGGGAACCAAACAGCCCAAAUACCGGUUCCACUUUAGGAACUAGAAAUCAGACCGACACUCCUAAGAACCUGACCAAAACCUCCCAGUUCAAUCCGAUCUGGCAAUUCUCAGUUUGAGUAGUCCGUUUUGUACACCUCUUGUGAGUAAUAACCUCUUCUAUUCUUUUAGCAGAUAAGUUUUAUGAGAUCCGCCUACCCAGAAACAGUGUUUUCUCUUAGGAUUCAGCAUUCAUCGGUAUUGUUCAGUUAAAGAGCAGGUCAUGGUUCCGGUUUUUCAGAGAAAAUUCUUGGAGUCCAGUCAAACAACAAAGUCAAUUGUAGAUUAUGAAGUAGCUCCAAGGCCUAGAGCUGAUAAUAUUCUGUUAAGAACCUUGCAAUCCUGCCAGCUUUAGAAUUCAUUUUUUAAUCUAUGUCAAGCUUUGAAUAUGAAAUGGCUAAAAGUCUUUCGAAAGGUUAGUCAAUCGCACGUAACCUCCCAGAAGUUGCUUAGUCUUUUAUCAUUUAAAUGACAGCCAAUUGUUUCAGUGCAAUCUUCCCUCUGGUCAAGGGGAAAAAAACUCUAACUCAUACAGAAAAUGCCACACCAACUAACUUCAUUCUCUAAGGUUUACUUGAAUACUAUCAUCUUAUGAGCUUAUAAACUCUGAACACAACUCCUUGAAUGAAUUUGAAUAAAGCCAAUUAAUAGUGAAUGUAUGCUACUUCAAUUUGGAAGGGGCCAAAGUUUUGUGGACGUAUAUGAACUUCUGAGCUAGUAACUUCGUAUUUGUCUUGGCCAGACUUAGAUAAUUACCUGUGUUCGAUAGAUCUCACUUCCUGUCAGAGAUCUGUAAGUUGCCUGUCAUGGAAUCCGCAUUCAUAACGGAAAAUCUAUGUGAAAAUAAAAAUGCAGAAUUUUGUACCAAAUCUGGAGAAGGUAAAUCAUAUCUGUGAAUCAUACUGAAGCUAGAAAUACUUUUUGCUGGGCCAAUGCUCAUGCUUCUUAUGUGAGAACUUUAGCAUAUCUUUGGUAAUGAUAUCUUUAGUCCAAAAAACCAGAAAAUCAAAUCUUCAUAACACAACCGGUGGUGAGAGCGAUGAGGAUUACUUGGUACUUCUCCUUAAUAAUACCAACAGUUCUGGCUGUUGUAAAUCAGAACAAAUUCCUGCGUCGAAUAUGUUUUGUCUAAAAAGUGUAUAUUCCAAGCCCCUACUUUGCAGCCUAAAAUCCAUGUAAGAAGUGGAGCAGUUCAUUCAACCUUUUGUUCGGAUCGAACUAAAGCCAUCCUUGAAUUGAAUAAACACUAAUAUCUUAGAAAAUAACAACAAAAUCAUCUCCAAACACCAGAAAAUAAAGAUGAAGAAAAAUAGCCAUCAUCUUCCUUCGACCAUGGUAUUAGUGACAGUGUUAACAGACCAGAUGCUUUCCUGCUGUGACGGAAUAUGACGUUUUAGCAUUUCAGCUUGGAAAAUGAAUAUAGGCUGUCCUGGCUGAGGAAGAUCAGUUUCGCCAUUUAACAUCAGAACCACAUUCCACAUGUUUGGUCUAUCUGCGGCAUGCUCCUGAACACAGAGAAGCCCAACAUGGAUGCAUCUUGUUACCUCCACUGGAGAGCUAACAGCAAUUGCUCCAUCCAUUAGGUCCAAUGCCUUGCCUUCAAUCCAUAAUUGCCAUGCCUAUAAGUGAGAACACUGUCAUAAUAUUGCAGGGAACUUACGAUAAUGAUUAAGGUUGGAAUUCGGGACUUACAUACGAAAGGAGAUUCAGAUGUUGUCCCUGGUCAUACAGGGCCGUGUUCUUUUUGCCGCUAACAAUCUCCAGUAGCAGCACUCCAAAGCUAUAGACAUCGGACCUCUCGGAAAAUAUCCCGCCCAUGGCGUACUCAGGAGACAUAUAGCCACUGCAGUUGAGUUAAAAUGAUUGUGAUAGAUAAUGGGGAUGAAACAUGCACAAAGUGAGAGGAUCAUCGUGGCAAAUCAAUCAUUUCCGUCUGCUUCGAAAGAUUGACUCAAUAAAUUGAUAAUUUAAAUAGGACUUGAUAACUUACAGUGUUCCAGCAAUUUUGUGAGUGUUCACCAAAACUUGAGUGCCCUCGAACAUUCGUGCCAACCCAAAAUCAGCAAUUUUUGGGUUCAUCUUUUCAUCUAAGAGAAUAUUACUUACUUUUAAGUCUCGAUGUAUGACCCUAAGGCAAGAAUCUCGAUGGAGGUAGAGAAGCCCCCUUGCAAUCCCCUGGAUUAUAUGAAAUCGUUUGCCCCAGUCGAGUUCUACCUUUUUCGUUGAAUCUAACAAGCAUGACAAACAAGAACAGUUUUCAACUUUCAGUGCUUUGGCGAGAAAUACAUCACAGAAAAAUAUUUACUUGGAGAGAAAAAACGAACCAAAAAGAAAGGUGUCCAAGCUUUUGUUCGACAAGUACUCGUAUACCAAAAUUUUUUCAUCUCCUUCAAUGCAGUAGCCCAUGAGUUUAACAAGAUUUCGAUGUUGUAGUUUCGAUAAAAGGAUGAUCUCAUUCUUGAACUCUUCAAUGCCUUGGGCCGAGGUACUGGAAAGUCUUUUCACAGCUACCUCUUUCCCAUCUUUCAGCUUCCCCUGUUUUGCAAUUCACAUAGCUUUUAGACCUUGAAUCACCUUUAUAUUUUCAUUUAAUGAAUGUCCUGCAGAACGGUUUUACCUUAUAAACAGAGCCAAACCCUCCUUGCCCGAGUUUACUUGUGGUGCUGAACUUGUCUGUGGCAAGUAGUAUACUAUCAAAACUGAAAAGGGUCAAUUCCUGCGAAUCAUCUUGCUUCAACUGCUCCUUCCAUGCUUUCGCUUGCAUAAGUUUGGCCGAACUAUCAGAUGUGUGUACCAAGCCACGGAGCCUCGAAAUUAUGCACCAGUUUCCUGUGUUC
Molecule: long non-coding RNA, 5810 nt
Filed under: Eucalyptus grandis
Lineage: Eukaryota; Viridiplantae; Streptophyta; Magnoliopsida; Myrtales; Myrtaceae
Description: long non-coding RNA (EGRA_LNC003253)
Source: RNAcentral